GGAGUUUGCUGGUCGAUUACGGGCGUUUAUGGGCCACAAUUGGAGGCGGACAAGGUUCGAUUCAUUGACGAGCUGAAGAGUAUCAAGCAUCAUAUGCUGCCGCAAUGGAUGAUGAUGGGAGACUUGAAUAUGAUCACCCAAGCAAGUGACAAAAGCAACAACAACAUCAACAGGCGGAUGAUGGGCAGGUUUAGAGCAACCAUUGAUGACUUGGAAUUGAUUGAGUUUCUGCUGUUUGGGAGAAGAUUUAUUUGGUCCAGCGAGCGCGAGAAUGUAACCCUCACCAAGAUCGAUCGGGUCAUGGUGUCUGGCGAGUGGGAAGCGGCGUUUCCCCACUAUCAACUGUCUCCUGCAUCAACAAAUAUAUCCGACCACUGCCCGCUUGUGCUCAAACGAAUGGAUGCA
This 405-nucleotide ribosomal RNA is filed under the name Triticum aestivum (bread wheat). RNAcentral describes it as "partial small subunit ribosomal RNA". Lineage: Eukaryota; Viridiplantae; Streptophyta; Magnoliopsida; Poales; Poaceae. The record is from RNAcentral.